This 869-nucleotide ribosomal RNA is filed under the name uncultured Ramlibacter sp. RNAcentral's name for it is "bacterial SSU rRNA". It matches the Rfam family "Bacterial small subunit ribosomal RNA", at positions 1 to 870 of the family's 1533-position model. Lineage: Bacteria; Pseudomonadati; Pseudomonadota; Betaproteobacteria; Burkholderiales; Comamonadaceae. The record is from RNAcentral.
AUUAGAGUUUGAUCAUGGCUCAGAUUGAACGCUGGCGGAAUGCUUUACACAUGCAAGUCGAACGGCAGCACGGGGGCAACCCUGGUGGUGAGUGGCGAACGGGUGAGUAAUACAUCGGAACGUGCCCAGUCGUGGGGGAUAACGUAGCGAAAGCUACGCUAAUACCGCAUACGAACUGAGGUUGAAAGCGGGGGAUCGCAAGACCUCGCGCGAUUGGAGCGGCCGAUGGCAGAUUAGGUAGUUGGUGGGGUAAAGGCUCACCAAGCCGACGAUCUGUAGCUGGUCUAAGAGGACGACCAGCCACACUGGGACUGAGACACGGCCCAGACUCCUACGGGAGGCAGCAGUGGGGAAUUUUGGACAAUGGGCGCAAGCCUGAUCCAGCCAUUCCGCGUGCAGGAUGAAGGCCCUCGGGUUGUAAACUGCUUUUGUACGGAACGAAAAGGCCUUUUCUAAUACAGAGGGCUCAUGACGGUACCGUAAGAAUAAGCACCGGCUAACUACGUGCCAGCAGCCGCGGUAAUACGUAGGGUGCAAGCGUUAAUCGGAAUUACUGGGCGUAAAGCGUGCGCAGGCGGUGAUGUAAGACAGGUGUGAAAUCCCCGGGCUUAACCUGGGAACUGCAUUUGUGACUGCAUCGCUGGAGUGCGGCAGAGGGGGAUGGAAUUCCGCGUGUAGCAGUGAAAUGCGUAGAUAUGCGGAGGAACACCGAUGGCGAAGGCAAUCCCCUGGGCCUGCACUGACGCUCAUGCACGAAAGCGUGGGGAGCAAACAGGAUUAGAUACCCUGGUAGUCCACGCCCUAAACGAUGUCAACUGGUUGUUGGUCCUUCACUGGAUCAGUAACGAAGCUAACGCGUGAAGUUGACC